GUGUCAACAGCCGCGGUAAUACGUAGGGUGCAAGCGUUAAUCGGAAUUACUGGGCGUAAAGCGUGCGCAGGCGGUUUUGUAAGACAGAGGUGAAAUCCCCGGGCUCAACCUGGGAACUGCCUUUGUGACUGCAAGGCUGGAGUACGGCAGAGGGGGAUGGAAUUCCGCGUGUAGCAGUGAAAUGCGUAGAUAUGCGGAGGAACACCGAUGGCGAAGGCAAUCCCCUGGGCCUGUACUGACGCUCAUGCACGAAAGCGUGGGAGCAAACAGGAUUAGAUACCCUGGUAGUCCACGCCCUAAACGAUGUCAACUGGUUGUUGGGUAUUUGUUUACUCAGUAACGAAGCUAACGCGUGAAGUUGACCGCCUGGGGAGUACGGUCGCAAGACUGAAACUCAAAUAAAUUGACGG
This 410-nucleotide ribosomal RNA is filed under the name uncultured bacterium. Its description in RNAcentral is "bacterial SSU rRNA". It matches the Rfam family "Bacterial small subunit ribosomal RNA", at positions 505 to 916 of the family's 1533-position model. The record is from RNAcentral.